UUUUUUUUUUUUUUUUGGUUAAAUACUAAGCAAGUUUCAUUCUACACUUGAACUUUACCAACAUAACUUAAUUUAAGUUAUGAUAAUAAUAAAUUUCGUAAAAGUUAUACAUAAAACAUGGAAUGAUAAAUAUAAUUAAAAUAUCAUAAUUCACCACAAGGUUUCAUAAAUUCAUUAUAAACAUAAAUAGAUACAAUCCAAAUGUUCACCAAUUAUCACAAAUAAAAACACAAAAAAUAAAUAAAUUAAAUAUUGUAAUUCUAAAACAACCCUUAACAAAAUCCAUAAAAGAGUUCAAGUUAAGACAAACCAUUUGAAUAGCAAACUUUUAUAAGUGGCAUGAUAAGUAACCACACCACCUUCACAAUUUAAUCAACUUAAGCUGAAAAAGUUAAAAUUUUAUUAUAAAAAUAUAAAUCUAAUUGCUCAAACUAAAAAAAAACUAAAAAUUUUUGAAAAACAAAUAUACAGUUAAACACAUAAAAAAUUAAUUGCUACUAAACAUUACUAAUUAACAUGUUAUAUUAAAUUCAAUGAUCCUAUACCAUUAAUUAUUUUAAAUUCAAUUAUCAAUAGCUUUGAUUAUGUGCCAACUACCAUAUUUUUUACCAGCCCAAUGUUAUUAUUUGUAAUUCCUACCCAAUUCCUACAUGGAUGUGCACUACUUUUGCAAAAAUUUCAUCCUUAAUUAAUCAAAUAAAAAUAAAACAAAAAAUGAGGGAAACAUAUGAAAAUUGAGGGGAAAAAGAAGAAAAUGCAAAAAAAUCAACUAAAGAUAAUAAUAUAGAAAAAAAAAGCCUUGAAAAGAAAAAAAAUUAAACUUACCAAGAUGUUGGAAAACAAGAAAAGUUGAAAUUUUCAACUUGUUUACAAUCUGCUAAAGAUAAUAACCUGAUAAUAAUGGUGAAGACUUGAGAAAAUCUUGUUGUGGAUAUUUGGGUUAAAAAUGGUUAAGAAGAAAAAAUUGAAAAAAAAAAUAAGAGAAGAACUUGAUGUUUUAAUAUAUUUUUUAGUCAAGUAGAAUUCUCAACAAACUUAACUACAGUCUAGUGGUAAGAUUGUCACAUGCAAAUCCUGAGACUCAGGUUCAAAUCAUGGCUACACCAUUCUUGAUAUUUUAUAUUUUGUUGAAAAAUUUAAAAAACUGCCGGUUCACGGUUCACACGGUUCGUCCGGGUUUCAACGGUUCUCCAUGAACUUCCGGCUUUAGCAUUAGACCGGACCGGUGACAUGGCCGGUCACCGGUUCGCGGUCCAACCGGUCGAACCGGCCGGUCCGGUCCGGUUCUAAAAACACUGCCUGUAGACGUGAUGUGUCAUUUGUGAUUCAUGCUAGGGAUAGCAAAAAAUACGUGCCGACUCGAAAAUUUGUAAUAUUCGAUCUCAUUUAAUCCAUAAUAUAGGAUACUAGAUCCGUAUUAUUUUAUCAUGUCAAAAGAUGAUCAGCUACUCGCUUAUAUAUGGGAUAGGUUAGGAUCACAAAAUUAAGAACUCACGAGUACCCGAUCUGCUCCACACACACACACAUAUAUAUAUAUCUAUUUAGUUUUUCAUUUUUACAUAUACUACAAAAUAAUACUUUUAGAGCGAAUUAACUAAUUUCAUCAAGCAAUUUGCUCUCAAAAAAUAUGAGAGAUUAUUUGUUUAUAAGCUUUAUUUGUAUGGGUUAUUAUCUUAUAUUUUUAAUAAAAGAGGUUAAGUGAUGUAGAAUAUAUAUAUAUAUAUAUAUAUAUGAAAAAAUGGUACCACUUAUAUCAAUUUUCAUUGAUUUUGAAUUCUUUUAACUGUUUCCCUUUCUCUUGUAUUCUCUUUGUAUGUCUAUUUUUUGGGAUGAGAUUUUUUUUUUAAAUAAAAUUUGUGUUGAAUCUUAGAUGAAUACAUAAAAUACAAAAUUAAAUUAGUAUAGAUCAUUUAUUUAAAGAUUAAAUCAUAAGCAGGGCAGGGCAAUGAAUACCGCUGACACGCAGCACGAAUAAGAACCGGAAAAUUGCUGACUAAUUAGAUGGGGACCGAGUCGACCAAAUGCUCAAAGGAACGGGUAAUUGACCCAUGCCCACCCCUAAUUCAUACCUAUAAGCUCAAUAUGCAGGCGACUUCUAUGGAUAUUAUAUUAUCAACGCAAAAAUCAUGAUUUGUUAGCAUGUGAAUAAUAGCUGGUUAUUGCAUGCUGUAGACAACAUUCUUUUUUUUUUUUUUUAAUUUAUUCCCCCUUCAAAUGCAAGUUGUGUUAUGAAAUUUGGGAUGCUUAGUAGUUUGAUUCUUUGAUGGAUUCAUGGAAUAAUGGCAGAUACCUGAUGCGUUUCAGCAACCAAAGGACAAAAAUUGCAUCCAAGCAGCAACGAUGCUUAACACUGUAUUGGUUUUCCUAUAGAACAGAUAUACAAAUGCACUUCUAUCCUUCCCAAUCAAGGUAAGAAACAAAAAAAUUUUGUAUUUCUUAUGCAGAACGAUUACACUGAAAACUAACACCAAGAGAUGAAUCGAGCAGCUGUUUCCAAUGUAUGCCAGUAUUUGUUGCAGCUCCAAGAAGUCUGCACUUCAG
Molecule: long non-coding RNA, 2541 nt
Filed under: Coffea arabica (coffee)
Lineage: Eukaryota; Viridiplantae; Streptophyta; Magnoliopsida; Gentianales; Rubiaceae
Description: long non-coding RNA (CARA_LNC003058)
Source: RNAcentral